This 301-nucleotide non-coding RNA is filed under the name Stegodyphus mimosarum. Its description in RNAcentral is "Microsporidia small subunit ribosomal RNA". It matches the Rfam family "Eukaryotic small subunit ribosomal RNA", at positions 172 to 476 of the family's 1831-position model. Lineage: Eukaryota; Metazoa; Arthropoda; Arachnida; Araneae; Eresidae. The record is from Rfam by way of RNAcentral.
UUUACAAAUAUUAAGCUAAAGGAAUAAAACAAUAAAUUUGAUUCGAAACCAAUCGGACCUCAUGUCUGUAUUAUGUGGCGACUCUGUAUAACUUUGGUCUGAUCGCGUGGUCUCGUCCUGUAUCUUUCAAAUGUCAGCCUUAUCAAUUGCCAUUGCUAGGUUAUGCACCUACCAAGGUUGUAAUGGGUGAUGGGGAAUCACAGUUCAAUUCCAGAAAGAGAGCCUGUGAAAUAGCUACUACAUCCAAAGAAGGCAAAUGCACAAAUUACCCAUUCCCAAAACAGGGAGAUAGUGAUGAAAA